UAACCCACGAUGAUAAUUUUGUGAAAUAAAUAUCCUGUUGCUGUUAGAAUAAUGAAUGCUAAUGGUGUAAUGAACUUGAAGACUGUUAGCUACUCCCCAUGGAGGGGAGAGGCUAAUGACUGGGAAGUGAUACAUGUGGCCCAAAUCACUUGGCUCCAUUUUCAUGGAAGCUGUGUGGCACAGCAGUUACAUACACUCACUCUGGAGACAGUUCCUUCUCAUCUUGGUUCCUCUUAGUGCCAAUCCAUAAAGGCAGAGCACAGCAUCAUUGCGUGGAUGUUGGUACUUAUGGAUUCUUCAAUUUGGAGAAUGAGGUAAAAAAAAAACCCAACAAAUAAAACCUGUUCUCUGAAGAAUGUUACAACAGUUCCUGACAAAGCAGGAGCAACAUAACAUACACUUAACAUAUAAGUUAUGGCUUGAGUUCAACUAGAGAGGGAGCACAAGUGGGGGCCCAGAAGCACAGAAAGACAAGCCUACUCCCUUCUCAGCAGGGAGCCCAAUGGCAGACUUGAUCCCCGGACCCUGAGAUCAUGAUUCCAGCCCAAAGCAGGCUUAACCAACUCAGCC
Long non-coding RNA from Canis lupus familiaris (dog), 570 nucleotides. RefSeq lists it as uncharacterized. The transcript is spliced from 3 exons. Lineage: Eukaryota; Metazoa; Chordata; Mammalia; Carnivora; Canidae. The record is from RefSeq and is a predicted model, not a curated record.